Molecule: ribosomal RNA, 497 nt
Filed under: uncultured bacterium
Lineage: Bacteria
Description: partial 16S ribosomal RNA
Rfam family: Bacterial small subunit ribosomal RNA
Source: RNAcentral
GAUGAACGCUGGCGGCGUGCCUAAUACAUGCAAGUCGAGCGAACAGACGAGGAGCUUGCUCCUCUGACGUUAGCGGCGGACGGGUGAGUAACACGUGGAUAACCUACCUAUAAGACUGGGAUAACUUCGGGAAACCGGAGCUAAUACCGGAUAAUAUAUUGAACCGCAUGGUUCAAUAGUGAAAGACGGUUUUGCUGUCACUUAUAGAUGGAUCCGCGCCGCAUUAGCUAGUUGGUAAGGUAACGGCUUACCAAGGCAACGAUGCGUAGCCGACCUGAGAGGGUGAUCGGCCACCCUGGAACUGAGACACGGUCCAGACUCCUACGGGAGGCAGCAGUAGGCAAUCUUCCGCAAUGGGCGAAAGCCUGACGGAGUAACGCCGCGUGAGUGAUGACGGUCUUCGGAUCGUAAAACUCUGUUAUUAGGGAAGAACAAAUGUGUAAGUAACUAUGCACGUCUUGACGGUACCUAAUCAGAAAGCCACGGCUAACUACGUG